This 482-nucleotide ribosomal RNA is filed under the name uncultured soil bacterium. RNAcentral's name for it is "bacterial SSU rRNA". It matches the Rfam family "Bacterial small subunit ribosomal RNA", at positions 26 to 497 of the family's 1533-position model. The record is from RNAcentral.
AGAUUGAACGCUGGCGGCAGGCCUAACACAUGCAAGUCGAGCGGUAGAGAGGUGCUUGCACCUCUUGAGAGCGGCGGACGGGUGAGUAAAGCCUAGGAAUCUGCCUGGUAGUGGGGGAUAACGCUCGGAAACGGACGCUAAUACCGCAUACGUCCUACGGGAGAAAGCAGGGGACCUUCGGGCCUUGCGCUAUCAGAUGAGCCUAGGUCGGAUUAGCUAGUUGGUGAGGUAAUGGCUCACCAAGGCGACGAUCCGUAACUGGUCUGAGAGGAUGAUCAGUCACACUGGAACUGAGACACGGUCCAGACUCCUACGGGAGCAGCAGGUGGGAAUAGUUGGACAAGUGGGACGAAAGCCGUGACUCCGAGCCAUCGCCGCGUGUGUAGAAAGGAGGUUCUUCGGAUUAGUAAACGCUAACGUUUUAAGGUAGGGAGGAAGGUCUAAUUAACCGUAAUUACGUUAGUUGUUUAGUACGUUACCGA